CUCAGCUGGCUUAUAUACUUUUAAAAAGAUUCUUAACCCCACACCUGUUUCAAUGACUGCUAUUAAUUAUACUUUUCUGUAACUGGUUAAAUUGAUGGAUUCCAGUUUAUCUUGAUGAAUUUUUAGAUUGGAGAUUAUAGCAUUUUUAAAAAUUGGGCACAGAUAUUCCCUGAAGAAUAUGAAAAAUAUUUACUAUUGACUUAGUUAACCCAGUAUCCCUGAGUGCCAAAGAACUAUGAAUUCAGAUAUUGCCUGCAUAGAUCUAAAUUUUAGUUUUGUGUGCCGUGUACAUAUACAACUUUACUGUGGUUUACAGCAUAAACACAGAAUGUUGUUUCUUUUCUUUAGUUUUCAACUGGCUCACACGACAUGUAGUGCUUUCCAGCACAUAAACUACUUGUAAAUCACUGAAAUAGAGUAAUAACUGCGAUACAAGUGUUUCUUAUCUUCUGCAAAAUGAUUUGAUUAACCACAUUCAAAAUCCAGCAUUUUCACAAGUUCCGUCAUUGAAAACAGAAUACCUCUAGCUGAUGACUCGAGCUUCAGCAGACAGGUUUACAUUUUCCGAACCUGUAUGUGGUAUGUGACUCAGUGUGGCUUUUCAGUCUUGUUCGUCACUUACAUGACUGAAGUUUGCAAGGCUUCUAUUGCCAAAUAAAUUUUGAUCAGAGUACACUGACAAAGCUAAUAUAAAAGAAAGUUUCUCAGAAUAUCGUGUGUUGAUUUAGAGUACAUUGUUUGAAUCAUUUUAAAUAUAUGUAAAAGUUGGUGAAGUUUCAAAAAAAUCUCCAAGACAACAUGAAAAAUUUGAGAUUAGCAAAUAUAAAUUUAUGGAU
Molecule: long non-coding RNA, 836 nt
Filed under: Bos taurus (domestic cattle)
Lineage: Eukaryota; Metazoa; Chordata; Mammalia; Artiodactyla; Bovidae
Description: long non-coding RNA NONBTAT023266
Source: RNAcentral